This is a long non-coding RNA of Diabrotica virgifera virgifera (western corn rootworm), 2233 nucleotides long. RefSeq lists it as uncharacterized. The record is from RefSeq and is a predicted model, not a curated record. NCBI's taxonomy places the organism in Eukaryota, Metazoa, Arthropoda, Insecta, Coleoptera, Chrysomelidae. The transcript is spliced from 2 exons.
GUAGGUAAAUGUAUUGAUAUUGUUUGUUAUUAUUCCGGUAAUAAAAAUUUUUGCUUAGAUGGCAUUAUACGGGGGUGAACGGAAGUGUUGUUAAUUCUCCUAACUUGAAAAAAUUCUGUGGAAAAAUUGAAGAGCUAAUUUUCUUUCAUACUUUUUUCGUAUUAUCUCGGAGGCAUCCAUAAUAUUUUGUUUUUUGAAUUAUUUGAAUAUGUAUCUCUUUUUUUGUAAAAGCUGUAAACAACAACACUGAUUUGAAGGAUUAUUUAAUUAAAAUUAUCAAACGCACUAAAAUUAACAACACCAGACAAAAUUAACAUCUAACAAUAAAACACUGAAAACGUUUGUUUUCUGUACUUCCACAAAAUUUAUUACAACUAUGUGACUACAGCUGUUUCGGCAGAGUGCCUUUCUCAAGUGAUUUAGAAUUACUAUGGGUUUGCCUUUUUAAAGUCUUUAACUGAAGAGGUUGAGGAGUGGGGAGCUGUUUGUCUCGAGUUGGCCAUUCAGAAUUAUAUCUGUAUUUUUCAAUUUAUUAAUUUCCAUAGAUUCUAAUAAAGAUAGCUUAAGGCCUUUAUUUUGAAUAUGCAGAAUUUGAAACUGUUCAUUAAAAGAAUGAUUAUGAUCUAGAAGGUGAAGUGCGUAUGUAGAAGUGUCUGUUUUUCUAUUGUUGAAAGCCCUUUUGUGUUCUGCUAUCCGUUUGUCAAAGGUUCUGCCAGUUUGACCGAUGUAAGUUUUCGGACAGUCACCACAAGUUAGUUUGUAAACACCACUCGGUAGUUGUUUUCUCUUUCGGCUCUUAUUAUUCUUAAUAUAUUUGCUUAAGUUGUUAUUAGUUCUGAAAGCUGGUGUUAUUCCUUUCUUUUUUAUGUAUCUGGCUAUUUUUGUUGUUAUCUUGCCACAUAGUAAUCUAAAUCACUUGAGAAAGGCACUCUGCCGAAACAGCUGUAGUCACAUAGUUGUAAUAACUUUUGUGGAAGUAUAGAAAACAAAGGUUUUCAGUGUUUUAUUGUUAGAAUGUUUUUGAGAUGAAAUUUUACGUAGAACACAUGUAUCAGUAAUGUAAAUAAGUAAUGCAUUACACAAGAAGUUUUUCAAAUGAUUUAUUCAUCCGUCCAGCCAGUUCUGUUAAACUAUACAUAAACGUCACUCAAGGUCAAGGUAUGUGUCAAGUGAAAACCCUCCAAUAGCGAAUCAGUUUAGACUCAACUUACCAGAGAGCGUUUCACGAGGUAAUCUAACUUUACUUUCUGUAUCCGGAACACCAACAACUUUAAAUUUUGUACUUCCAAUUGUUGGCCGCAUAGAUGGCCUGCAAUUUGCUAAAAUCUAUAAAAAGUCUUCUUCUGUGCAAGUCUCUUUCAUCUCUGUGCAUGAUAGCAGAUGGUGACUAUUCUGAUCCGCGCCACAGUCGCAGGUAUCGUCCUCCUGUACUCACUUUUGUCUUUUAUCCUUCUCAUUCGUUCGUGGCUGUUCCUGGAAACUGGGUAUCCACUCUCAGCAGUUCCGUUGAUCUAGUCACCUCUAGUCGGAUCUGUCGUUCCAGCUGCCUUCUCCAUUGUCUAUACAUCAACCAUACGACGAAUAUGAAUACUAGGGCAAACGCUACUAUUCCCAAUAUUUCUGGAAUAGAUAUAUCGUAUCCCUUUUCUUUAGUAGCUGUGGUGCCUCCGCUGUUUCCCGCUUGGUUUAUAAAUAUUUGCUCCUCCUCCUUGUUUUGGUUAUUUCCCAUAACUAUUUCUUCUCAGCGUCCUGUCGUCUCAGCUGUCCCGCUGUCGUCUCAGCUGUCCAGGUUUAAAGGGCCAGGGGCGCCUUGUUAAGUUGGUCGACUGCCAUGAUACGUUGCAGAGUUGGUAUAACUAAUAUAUAUAAGUUGCUAACUUAUAACUUUAUUUAUGAUUUACAACAUCCAUCAAUAUAAGGUUACAUUAAGAUGUUGUUUCGCGGGGUAGUCCUUCAGGACACCCUUCUCGCAUGACUGCAACUAGCAUAGUAACGAUCUUAAUAUGAAUAAUAACAAUACUAUAAUGCCAAUAUUAAUCCCUCUGUGGGCUAUUUAUAUCUUCUUAUAAUUCGGACUUUGAAAAGUAAACUAUACGUGAGUCUCUGCGAGGUUACACAAACUCCGUCAAUCAACCUUCGUUUUGUUUGCAUAUGUAGAAACAACAUUUUUGUAACAGCCUAAUUACUUAAAUUAUAUACAUUCUUUGAUACAUAUUAUAUUAUAUAGUAAGGG